AGAAAAACCUCUAAUGAUGUAUGUGUCUGGUUUGAUGUAUUUCAUUAAGAUCUUUGCAGUAUCGACACUCUUCAUUACUCCUGCAACUUGUUUCGAAUUACCCAAAGGUGCAUGUCAGAAAUCUUUGGUCUCUAUUUGUUCUGUAUCUGAAUGUCCAAAAAAUAAAGAUGACUUUGAAGAAGCUGCAAAACGGAAAGAUUGUAGCCUGUAUGAGUCCUCGAGUUGCAGAACACUGAAAUAUCACUGUGUAUUGAAUUACAAUUUAACAGGAUUAGUUGAAGUGUGUGCUUUUUCAAGGAUAAUCCAAUCUGGAAGAUGUGCAACAUUUAAUGAAGUAUUCUACAGCAUCAGGGAAACUGAUAAAGUUACCUGUACACAAUCCAAAGACCCGUGUCCCUCCCCUUACAAUUCCAAGGAAUCGUAUAAAUAUACGAAGUGCUUCGAAAUACUGCCAAAUUCUUCGAGAUUACAUACGCAGAGAAAUGACAAUUGCAGAUCUAGAGGAUUGGAAGAAGAAAUCGACCACUUUCCUUUAUGGGCAAUAAUACUCACCUCAGUGUCAAUAUUUAUUCUCUAGGCUAUUAUUUCAGUAAUCUGCCUCAUAUACAAAUACAGAAAGAGCAAGAAAACCAAGAGAAGACAAGAACAAGAGGAUGUAAAAGAUGGCACGGGGGAUGUAAUGCUUCAAGAGAUUGACUCCAUUUCGCUUCAUUAAAACUACAUUUUUUAUGUUCCUUUUUUUCGAAUGCCGAACGACUGGUCUUAUUUUUUUCAAAACAGGCAAAUAUAUAUAACUGCUGAAACGAUUGCUCUUUUUUUCGGAUUGGGGACAAUAAAUAUUCGCCUAACAACAAGACGUUAUGAAAGAUACAGAAUUUCCAUGAAAAAAAACUGUCAUUUUAUCUUUAAAUACAAGUAAAGAAAAGUUAUUAGACCAUUUUACAUGUAUCAAAGAAAAUAUACAAGAGGAGAGAUCUGAAUAGAAACAGAAACAUGGACCAGUAGUAUAUGAAAGUUAGACUUUUUUACUUUUGAUAAUGAAACUUACUUAACAAAUGAUACAAUGUGUUUUCAUAUUUUUUCCAAUUUUUACUCUAUAAUUUCGUUAAUUAUUUCUUAUAAUGCUUCAUUUGACCUUUGCUUUUCUUUUUUCACGAUGAAAGGACGCCCCGAAAUAUGUAAGAGUAAAUGAAGACAAAAAUUUGACAAUAAACUCUGGGACUGUUUCUUUAGCAUAUUCAGGGAUUUAUGAGUUUACCCUGAUUUCACAGACCGUUCGAGAAUUGGGAAAUUAUACAGUUUUAAUUUAGAGCGAGUGUGACUAAGCUACAUUUCAACACGAAGCUAUAUAGAUCAUGUUUGUCAUACUACGGACAGUGUAAUAGACAACACGAUAUGGCUGUUGAUACUAUAAAGUAACGAUCUCAGCAGAUAU
This is a long non-coding RNA of Saccostrea cuccullata (small rock oyster), 1435 nucleotides long. RefSeq lists it as uncharacterized. The record is from RefSeq and is a predicted model, not a curated record. The transcript has 7 exons. NCBI's taxonomy places the organism in Eukaryota, Metazoa, Mollusca, Bivalvia, Ostreida, Ostreidae.